UAUCAAUGAUGAAACCUAUCCCAAAGCUGAUGACCUGAAGAAAAAUACCUACAGAUUCAGCUUCUGAUAU
Small nucleolar RNA from Chlorocebus sabaeus (green monkey), 70 nucleotides. NCBI's taxonomy places the organism in Eukaryota, Metazoa, Chordata, Mammalia, Primates, Cercopithecidae. The record is from Ensembl.